RNAcentral lists this long non-coding RNA (906 nucleotides) under Homo sapiens (human). Its description in RNAcentral is "long non-coding RNA NONHSAT175781.1". The record is from RNAcentral. Lineage: Eukaryota; Metazoa; Chordata; Mammalia; Primates; Hominidae.
CGCCGUGCCCAGCCCCUCUGCCCUCCUGUUACCCCGGGACCUCGGGCCGCCAGCCCCUUCCACGUGCAGGCUCCUGCUGCUCUCGCGGGGGCUUUUCGUGUGUCCCCCGAGAUGUCGAGGAAGCCAGGAAACAAGGAGUGGACGUUCAGGCUGAUGGCCAGCUUCAAAGAUCGGGGCCUUUGAUUCCCAUCACUGGGAAGAAAGCCCUUCAGACAAGCCCCCCCAGGCUGCAGGUGCAUGGGGACCUUGAAGAACCCGUCCCCAUGGUCCCACGUCCAUGUGUCUCGAGACCUGUCGCAUCCUCGCUGAAACUCAAGAAUGUGAAACAGGUGAAGGGUCCAGCUCUCCCACGGGUGGCUGUGAUCCUUCUUCCUGGGGAGUCCUGCUGUCCCUGACUAGGGGCACCUGCCCACCUGUCAGCUGCUCCUCCCUCGGCUGGUCCUCCUGGGCUCUGAUGGCCCCAACAUUUCUAGCUCUUCUCACCCAUAGUGCCCCAAGCUUCAUGCAGCUGCGGCAGGUACUGUGCCCGUCUGCCUGGCUUUUGUGUGUUUGUGUCUUGACUCUAUAACCCGUGCACACGGACUGGGCUGUGGUGUAGUGGGGAUGGCAGGAGCCCUGGGAACAUGCGGGCUGGGCAAGGUGAGGCAGGCUGAUUGCUGUGGCUCCCCCACCACCAGCCCCAGCCACAACAAACUGACAAAGGAAGAGGACAGUGGUACCCUGGAGCCCUGGGGUCAGAGAGAGGAGGACAAAGCAGGACACCAUGUUCCUCCCCUCUGGAGGAUGCUGUAACAAGCUGUCAUCUCGGGAGGAGACACCAGGCCCUGACCAGACGCUGAACAUGCCAGCACCUUCAUCUUGGACUUUCCAGCCCCCAGAACUGUGAGAAAUAAAUUUCUGUUCUUU